GUAUUGUAUUGCGUUAAACGCGUCAUGCAUUCCAUAAAACUUUGUUACAGAGUGUGUGUAAAGACGUAGGACCACAACGGGAGGAUAGAGUCCCCCAUGCCACGGAACUACAGAGGGUGCACAGGUGUGAGUGGAUGUGUAAACAGAGCGUGCACAUGCCCCCGUUUUGAGGACCAGCAACAACUCGUGUUGACAAUUCGGUAAUGAUCCUUCCGCAGGUUCACCUACGGAAA
Molecule: unclassified non-coding RNA, 233 nt
Filed under: uncultured fungus
Lineage: Eukaryota; Fungi
Description: sequence contains ITS1, 5.8S rRNA gene
Source: RNAcentral